UACGAACCGUCCAAACGUUACUCGGAAUUACUGGCUUAAAGGGUGCGUAGGCCGCGCGGAGGGUGGGAUGUGAAAUCCCCCGGCUCAACCGGGGAAUAGCGUCCCAAACCGCCGUGCUCGAGGGAGACAGAGGUGAGCGGAACUGAUGGUGGAGCGGUGAAAUGCGUUGAUAUCAUCAGGAACACCAGUGGCGAAAGCGGCUCACUGGGUCUUUCCUAACGCUGAGGCACGAAAGCUAGGGGAGCGAACGGG
This 252-nucleotide ribosomal RNA is filed under the name uncultured bacterium. RNAcentral's name for it is "partial 16S ribosomal RNA". It matches the Rfam family "Bacterial small subunit ribosomal RNA", at positions 524 to 776 of the family's 1533-position model. The record is from RNAcentral.